AAGAGUUUUUGAUUCUGGCUCAGGAUGAACGCUGGCGGCGUGCCUAAUACAUGCAAGUCGAGCGAACGGACGAGAAGCUUGCUUCUCUGAUGUUAGCGGCGGACGGGUGAGUAACACGUGGAUAACCUACCUAUAAGACUGGGAUAACUUCGGGAAACCGGAGCUAAUACCGGAUAAUAUUUUGAACCGCAUGGUUCAAAAGUGAAAGACGGUCUUGCUGUCACUUAUAGAUGGAUCCGCGCUGCAUUAGCUAGUUGGUAAGGUAACGGCUUACCAAGGCAACGAUGCAUAGCCGACCUGAGAGGGUGAUCGGCCACACUGGAACUGAGACACGGUCCAGACUCCUACGGGAGGCAGCAGUAGGGAAUCUUCCGCAAUGGGCGAAAGCCUGACGGAGCAACGCCGCGUGAGUGAUGAAGGUCUUCGGAUCGUAAAACUCUGUUAUUAGGGAAGAACAUAUGUGUAAGUAACUGUGCACAUCUUGACGGUACCUAAUCAGAAAGCCACGGCUAACUACGUGCCAGCAGCCGCGGUAAUACGUAGGUGGCAAGCGUUAUCCGGAAUUAUUGGGCGUAAAGCGCGCGUAGGCGGUUUUUUAAGUCUGAUGUGAAAGCCCACGGCUCAACCGUGGAGGGUCAUUGGAAACUGGAAAACUUGAGUGCAGAAGAGGAAAGUGGAAUUCCAUGUGUAGCGGUGAAAUGCGCAGAGAUAUGGAGGAACACCAGUGGCGAAGGCGACUUUCUGGUCUGUAACUGACGCUGAUGUGCGAAAGCGUGGGGAUCAAACAGGAUUAGAUACCCUGGUAGUCCACGCCGUAAACGAUGAGUGCUAAGUGUUAGGGGGUUUCCGCCCCUUAGUGCUGCAGCUAACGCAUUAAGCACUCCGCCCGGGAGCC
Molecule: ribosomal RNA, 895 nt
Filed under: Staphylococcus aureus
Lineage: Bacteria; Bacillati; Bacillota; Bacilli; Caryophanales; Staphylococcaceae
Description: bacterial SSU rRNA
Rfam family: Bacterial small subunit ribosomal RNA
Source: RNAcentral